RNAcentral lists this ribosomal RNA (442 nucleotides) under uncultured bacterium. RNAcentral describes it as "partial 16S ribosomal RNA". It matches the Rfam family "Bacterial small subunit ribosomal RNA", at positions 338 to 795 of the family's 1533-position model. The record is from RNAcentral.
CCUACGGGAGGCAGCAGUGGGGAAUAUUGGGCAAUGGGCGCAAGCCUGACCCAGCAACGCCGCGUGAAGGAAGAAGGCUUUCGGGUUGUAAACUUCUUUUGACAGGGAAGAGUAGAAGACGGUACCUGUCGAAUAAGCCACGGCUAACUACGUGACAGCAGCCGCGGUAAUACGUAGGUGGCAAGCGUUGUCCGGAUUUCCUGGGUGUAAAGGGCGUGUAGCCGGGUUGACAAGUCAGAUGUGAAAUCCUGCGGCUUAACCGCAGAACUGCAUUUGAAACUGUUGAUCUUGAGUACUGGAGAGGCAGACGGAAUUCCUAGUGUAGCGGUGAAAUGCGUAGAGAUGAGGAGGAACACCAGUGGCGAAGGCAGUCUGCUGGACAGCAACUGACGGUGAGGCGCGAAAGCGUGGGGAGCAAACAGGAUUAGAUACCCCAGUAGUC